AAAACCCUCAAGCUCGACGCCAAUGGCGAGGGUUCCAAGCAAUCACUCUCGCGAUCAAUUUCAGGAUAUGCAGGGGCUCUUUAAUAACUUGCAAGAUUGGGAAUUAGCAUUGAAAGGUAAAGACAAAAAGAUGAAAUCUCAGGCUGGUGGCAAAGAGACGUUGAAAGAAGACUGGAGCCGUACUAGUGAACCUCUUACUAGUCCUCAAGCUAAUGGGACACAACAAGUUGGCAAAUCUACCUCGAUCAGAAAUGCAGCUGGUCCAUAUAGUUAUUCUAAAAAUUACAAUCCAAUUAGCCAUCUAUCAAGUGAACUGAUAUCGGAAGAGAGCAACAUCAACGCCAAUUCGGAGAAAGAGCUGGGUAAUGAGUGCUUUAAGCAGAAAAAGUUCAAUGAAGCCAUUGAUUGCUAUUCUCGAAGCAUUGCACUUUCACCAACUGCAGUCUCUUAUGCCAAUAGAGCGAUGGCUUAUCUUAAAAUCAAAAGGUUUCAAGAGGCAGAGAACGACUGCACAGAGGCCUUGAAUCUGGAUGAUCGUUACAUUAAAGCUUAUUCUCGCCGUUCAACUUCUAGGAAAGAACUUGGGAAAUUGAAAGAAUCAAUUGAAGAUGCUGAAUUUGCGUUGUGGUUGGAACCACGGAACCCAGAGAUCAAGAAGCAGUAUGGAGAAGUUAAGGCUCUGUAUGAGAAGGAGAUUCUUAAAAGAGUAUCAGGAGCAACAGAUGUUUCUGCACAAGGGCCUCAAAAAUCUGGAAAGACAAUUAAAAUUGGCCCUGUAAUCCAAUCUGUAUCAAGUAGUUCUCAAAAGGUGGCUGAAGUUCGGACGAUUCCUGCCAAGGAAAACAAUAGAGAUGUUCUUGGGACUGCUAAAGUUGAAGAUACUCAUAUGCAGAUUAGCAACAAAGAUUCAGAUGCUUCUCCAACCGUUCCUACCCUAAAUCUUGCCUUUGGGACUGCAAAGAAAACUCACAAAAUAAGCAAGCAAGAACUCGAGGAAUCUGUCCAAGAGCUUGCUGCUCGAGCAGCUGGUCUUGCAAAGACUGAAGCUGCAAAAAAUAUUGCAGCACCAAAUUCAGCCUAUCAGUUUGAGGUUUCUUGGCGGGGACUUUCUGGUGAUCGUAAUCUGCAAACUCAAUUAUUGAAGGUCACUUCACCUGCAAUGUUACCCCGAAUAUUUAAAAAUGCAUUAUCUGCUCCGAUGCUCAUGGACAUUGUAAGAUGUAUUGCCACAUUUUUCAUUGAAGAUAUGAAUUUGGCAAUUAGAUACCUGGAAGAUCUGACGAAGGUACCAAGGUUCGACAUGAUCAUCAUGUGCCUUUCAUCCGCUGAUAAAUCUGAACUUCUCAAGAUAUGGGAAGAGAUCUUCUGUAAGGUAGCUGAGGAGCACUCUGCUACACUUGGUGCACUUCGCGUCUCAUAUGGCCUAAAACAAUGAUGUAGCUUUUCUGGUCCAGUUAACGCGGGAAGCUGACAUUCUUGUAUUAUUAUCAGAUUUUUGUUAUUCUACAAAGCAAACAUGCAUGUGGAUAUAGUUUGAUAUUGAAAUGGGAAUUUUCUUGUUGAAAUUCUGUACCGAUAUCUUCAAGAUGUUUGACGACUCCUGAUAGGAAAAUUUUGAUAUUUAAAGAU
Molecule: unclassified non-coding RNA, 1629 nt
Filed under: Hevea brasiliensis (rubber tree)
Lineage: Eukaryota; Viridiplantae; Streptophyta; Magnoliopsida; Malpighiales; Euphorbiaceae
Source: RNAcentral